CAGACAUUUGAGGGGUUCAGAACACCCACCCCAAACACACCGCUCUGGCAAGUGACUGUCCUGCACAGGAAGCAGUCUCUCUGGGAGCCCCUGGCCGCCCAUCUGCCUCAGCCUCGUCACAGCCCCACGAUGGCUCUUGCUUUGUGUAAAAAAAGGCACACGCACUUUGGGGCCUGAUGGCUUCUUCAGGGGUUCAUUUUUCUUCUGAAGAUUCCUGUGGACACGUAAAAAUUCUAAGUAAGUGUUUGCUGUCCUCCUGUUGAGCUGUGUGUGUCAGCUUAAUUCUGCGUCUGGCUGCAGGACUAGGAGGGCGGGGGGAGUCUUUGUCCUCCCUUCAGUCGCCGGCCGGGACCCCUUUGGCUGGUGGCUCCGAUCCCGGAGCCGGGCUCUCCCCGUGCAAGGAGUACACUACAUCCGCAGCCAGGAAGGGACCCCCGUUGUCCACAGGGAGGGAUGGGGGCAUCACGCCAAGACAAAUGAGCCGGACACAGAACAGCGCCGUGUGGCCUCACCUACCUGGGCAUCAAAAAUGGUCCCACUCAGAGCCAGAGCAGCGGGGUGGUUGCAGGGGCCGGGGCGGAGACGGGGAGAGAGAUGUCUGUGCAACACGCUUCCAGUUAAAAGGUAAGUAGGUCCUGGGGUCCCAGGCCCCAUGACGCGUGGUGGCUGUGGUUAAUACCGCCGUUUUGUAUCCUUGAACUUUUCUCAGAGAGGAGAUUUAAAUGUUCUGAUCAAGAGAAAGAACAAGGUAACUGUGUGAGGCGGCGAGCGUGUUAAUUAGCUCGACGUGGUGAACGUUGCAGAAGCGUUCCCGUGCAAGACACCACGUCGCUCCUCACGUACAGUUUCCACUUGUCAGUUACGCCUCAGUGAAGCCGGGCAAGAUAAAUACAUUUUUUACUUUAUUAAAAAA
Non-coding RNA from Vicugna pacos (alpaca), 913 nucleotides. NCBI's taxonomy places the organism in Eukaryota, Metazoa, Chordata, Mammalia, Artiodactyla, Camelidae. The record is from RefSeq and is a predicted model, not a curated record.